Non-coding RNA from Salvelinus sp. IW2-2015, 429 nucleotides. The record is from RefSeq and is a predicted model, not a curated record. NCBI's taxonomy places the organism in Eukaryota, Metazoa, Chordata, Actinopteri, Salmoniformes, Salmonidae.
AGGAAGAGAGGAAGGAGAGACGCAGAAACCGAGGGACAGAGGUCUAAGUAACAGGGAAGCUGUGGCGUCUCCUACUGCUGCUGAAGACACUAACCAGGAGAGAGGAGGAGAGAAGAACCAGGAGAGAAGGAAACCCAAGGGGAAGAAGACGAUACAACAUGAAGAGGAGGAGCCUGAUGAGUCCUGGGACUAUGGCCUGAGGGAUGCUCUCUACACCGCCUGUAAGACUGGAGACUUGGACACCCUCAUCAGACUGUUACCAGUGAGGAGGGGAGAGCAGGGUGGAGAGGAGGGGGACCAGGAUGGACAGAGGGAGGAGCAGGGUGCAAAGCCAGAGGGAGAGAAGAAUCAGGGAGAGGUGGAGGAGAGCUGCUCUUCCCAGGACCCUGCAGCCCUGAACCCUGCAGCCCUGAACCCUGCAGCCCAGGC